AACGUAGGUGGCGAGCGUUAUCCGGAUUUACUGGGCGUAAAGGGUGUGCAGGCGGGUCACUAAGUGGGGUAUGAAAGCGCUCGGCUCAACCGGGCAAGGUUAUGCCAGACUGGUGGUCUAGAGGGCGAGAGAGGGACGUGGAAUUCCGGGUGUAGUGGUGAAAUGCGUAGAGAUCCGGAGGAACCCCAGAGGCGAAGGCGGCAUCCUGGACUGGUCCUGACACUCAGGAGCGAAAGCGUGGGGAGCGAUCCGG
RNAcentral lists this ribosomal RNA (253 nucleotides) under uncultured bacterium. RNAcentral's name for it is "partial 16S ribosomal RNA". It matches the Rfam family "Bacterial small subunit ribosomal RNA", at positions 524 to 776 of the family's 1533-position model. The record is from RNAcentral.